CCCCACCACAAAACCACCUCAAAAAUAGCACAAACCUGACUUCACUGCCUCUUCGCCACUGAUGCCGCCACCACCACCACAACCACUGCCUGUUUCAACAAUAACCACCACAACCACCUAAAAUCGACCAUCUCCUUCUCCUCCACCACACCACAUCCAUCAAGACCAACUCAAAGAUGCAAACUAAAAUAGAGAAAAUAGAUCGAUGCCUCGCAGCAAAUGAAUCACCAUCGAAUGAAAAAGAAAAUUAAACCCAAGAGAAAACAGCAGCGACCAUCAGAGCUGGAGCCUGUCGUGUGCAGCUGCAGUACGCCCAAACCAACAGCAGUGCAGCCGAUCGUGUUCAACUACCGUUCGAGUUUGCCACUGUGAGUGUCAUUGUACUGGUCAUGUGCAGCCGCCUACUGUCGAUCGUGUGCAGUUG
RNAcentral lists this long non-coding RNA (424 nucleotides) under Olea europaea subsp. europaea. The record is from RNAcentral. Lineage: Eukaryota; Viridiplantae; Streptophyta; Magnoliopsida; Lamiales; Oleaceae.